RNAcentral lists this ribosomal RNA (464 nucleotides) under uncultured bacterium. RNAcentral's name for it is "bacterial SSU rRNA". It matches the Rfam family "Bacterial small subunit ribosomal RNA", at positions 338 to 795 of the family's 1533-position model. The record is from RNAcentral.
CCUACGGGGGGCAGCAGUAGGGAAUUUUCCACAAUGGACGAAAGUCUGAUGGAGCAAUGCCGCGUGAGGGAUGAAGGUCUUCGGAUCGUAAACCUCUGUUGAUGGGGAAGAACAGCUAUAAUAGGAAAUGAUUAUAGUCUGACGGUACCUAUCCAGAAAGUCACGGCAAACUAUGUGCCAGCAGCCGCGGUAAUACAUAGGUGGCAAGCGUUAUCCGGAUUUAUUGGGCGUAAAGAGUGCACAGGCGGUUUACUAAGUUAGUUGUUAAAUACCAAAGCUCAACUUUGGUGUGCAGUUAAAACUGGUAGACUAGAAUACAGGUGGGGGUAAUGGAAUUCCAUGUGUAGCGGUGGAAUGCAUAAAUAUAUGGAGGAACACCAGUAGCGAAGGCGGUUACCUGAACUGUUAUUGACGCUUAAGCACGAAAGCGUGGGGAGCAAAUAGGAUUAGAUACCCCGGUAGUC